CCCGGCCCGGCAGUUACACGUGAGCAACGACGAGUUCUCGAAACCUGGGCGGGGGAAGAGGAGACGGUAGACAGGCCCGCAAAGGCACCAGCCCAGCACUGGGGACUUGAAAGCCCAGUUCCAAGGGUCCCCCAAGCCCCCAGAGGAGUCCCCGAGUGCAGGUGCACCUGGGAAUCGGACUUGGAUGACGGACAACUUUACAAGCUGAGUGCACACCAGAAACGAAGAGUACCCCGUUUAUUCCUCAAGACACCCCUGCAAAGAUGCGACCACCUCCUCUAUUUGGCUCACCCCAUCCCUUGUUACUGCUGAGCUUGUGUUAGAGACCUAGGAUGCGGAGGGGAGACCACCUGCCCGCACAUUUGGCGGGCCAGCCAGUGCACGCUGCUGCAGACACACCUGGAGCAUCUAGCUGCGACACAAGGCACACACCUGCCGGUCUGCCAGUCGGCUCACCUGACGGGUGGUCUAGAGCUCCGCCUCGUCUUGUCUUCUCUCAACCCUUAAUUUUAUUACUUAAAAAACUUCUUGUAGGGGCGCCUGGCUGGCUCACUGGUUGAGCGUCUGCCUCUGGCUCAGGUCUUGAUCCUGAGGUCCUGUAAUCAAGUCCCGUGUCGGGCUCCCUGCAG
This is a long non-coding RNA of Canis lupus familiaris (dog), 629 nucleotides long. RefSeq lists it as uncharacterized. The record is from RefSeq and is a predicted model, not a curated record. Lineage: Eukaryota; Metazoa; Chordata; Mammalia; Carnivora; Canidae. The transcript has 4 exons.